This 1324-nucleotide ribosomal RNA is filed under the name metagenome. RNAcentral describes it as "bacterial LSU rRNA". It matches the Rfam family "Bacterial large subunit ribosomal RNA", at positions 1561 to 2925 of the family's 2925-position model. The record is from RNAcentral.
AGUGGAUGGGGAGCAACCUAGUUGUGCGUGUGUAAAGGUAGUGCCAAGAAAAGCGAUGAUCAUGUUGAAAAUCAAUUCCCGGUACCCGAAACCGACACAGGUGGGCAAGUAGAGAAUACUAAGGGGCGCGAGGUAACUCUCUCCAAGGAACUCGGCAAAAUGACCCCGUAACUUAGGGAGAAGGGGUGCCACCGAGAGGUGGUCGCAGUGAAGAGGCCCAGGCGACUGUUUAGCAAAAACAUAGGUCUCUGCAAACUCGAAAGAGGAGGUAUAGGGGCUGACGCCUGCCCAGUGCCGGAAGGUUAAAGAAGUUGGUCAGUCUUAGGAUGAAGCUAGCGACUGAAGCCCCGGUGAACGGCGGCCGUAACUAUAACGGUCCUAAGGUAGCGAAAUUCCUUGUCGGGUAAGUUCCGACCCGCACGAAAGGCGUAACGAUCUGGGCGCUGUCUCGGAGAGAGGCUCGGCGAAAUAGGAUUGUCUGUGAAGAUACGGACUACCUGCAUUUGGACAGAAAGACCCUAUGAAGCUUUACUAUAGCUUGGAAUUGUGUUCGGGCUUCCUGUGCGCAGGAUAGGUGGGAGGCGUAGAAGGUAUUCUUGUGGGGAUACUGGAGCCAACGGUGAGAUACCACUCUCAGGAGGCUAGAAUUCUAACUUAAUUAAGGACAGUUUCAGGUGGGUAGUUUGACUGGGGCGGUCGCCUCAAAAAGGUAACGGAGGCGUACAAAGGUUCCCUCAGACUGGUUGGAAAUCAGUCGAAGAGUGCAAAGGCAGAAGGGAGCUUGACUGCGAGAAGUACAGUUCGAGCAGGGUGGAAACACGGUCUUAGUGAUCCGACGGUGCUGUGUGGAAGGGCCGUCGCUCAACGGAUAAAAGUUACUCUAGGAUAACAGGCUGAUCUCCCCCAAGAGUUCACAUCGACGGGGAGGUUUGGCACCUCGAUGUCGGCUCAUCGCAACCUGGGGCGGAAGUACGUCCCAAGGGUUGGGCUGUUCGCCCAUUAAAGCGGUACGUGAGCUGGGUUCAGAACGUCGUGAGACAGUUCGGUCCAUAUCCGAUGUAGGCGUGAGAAUAUUGAGAGGAGCCUUCCUUAGUACGAGAGGACCGGGAAGGACGCACCGCUGGUGUACCUGUUAUGAUGCCAAUUGUAAACGCAGGGUAGCCAAGUGCGGAGAGGAUAACCGCUGAAAGCAUCUAAGUGGGAAGCCCACCUCAAGAUGAGUAUUCUGGUGUAAGGUCACGGGAAGACGACCCGUAAAUAGGCACGAGGUGGAAGUGCAGAGAUGUAUGAAGCCGAAGUGUACUAAUAGACCGUCGGCUUGACC